AGAGCGAACGCUGGCGGCAGGCUUAACACAUGCAAGUCGAGCGGGCGUAGCAAUACGUCAGCGGCAGACGGGUGAGUAACGCGUGGGAACGUACCUUUGGUUCGGAACAACCCAGGGAAACUUGGGCUAAAUACCGGAUAAGCCCUUACGGGGAAAGAUUUAUCGCCGAAAGAUCGGCCCGCGUCUGAUUAGCUAGUUGGUGAGGUAAUGGCUCACCAAGGCGACGAUCAGUAGCUGGUCUGAGAGGAUGAUCAGCCACAUUGGGACUGAGACACGGCCCAAACUCCUACGGGAGGCAGCAGUGGGGAAUAUUGGACAAUGGGCGCAAGCCUGAUCCAGCCAUGCCGCGUGAGUGAUGAAGGCCCUAGGGUUGUAAAGCUCUUUUGUGCGGGAAGAUAAUGACGGUACCGCAAGAAUAAGCCCGGCUAACUUCGCGCCAGCAGCCGC
RNAcentral lists this ribosomal RNA (447 nucleotides) under uncultured bacterium. Its description in RNAcentral is "SSU rRNA". It matches the Rfam family "Bacterial small subunit ribosomal RNA", at positions 26 to 518 of the family's 1533-position model. The record is from RNAcentral.